CCGGUGUUCCCUGUUUCAAAUGUGAACUAAUGCUGCUUUUUCUUUGCUUUGUUUUGCUCUCCGUGGCAUUAUCUAUUUCUUGGCUUCGUUAUGGACGCUCCCCCAUCAUAGACGAGCUGAUCUGCGGCCACUCUCUCUUGAGUUUUCUUGCUGAUCAAACUUGGGUUUUAUGUAGUAGAAAAGGCUGAGCGGUUAACCCCUUUGCGUUCUAAUUUCGAUGCUCUCUCCAUAAGGACUUUUAGUUCUCAAGCAGAUUUACCCAUGAAAGCUAUGUCAUUUCAUUCAAUUGCAGCUAUUUUGGAUGAACACAUUAAUCGGAUCAGCGAUUUACCAGUGGUUGAUGUUGUCUCUCGAUUGGUGCUCCAUUUCUACAAUUUUUAGAGAGCAUGAAAAGGAUCUUCGAGGAUUUUGUGGAUGGAUUUUCUGAAAAGAUGUUGGUGAAAAAUUACAUUUCUAGUGGAUUUAAGCUUAAUGAAAUUCUGUUAUUUCACAACUUCAAAUGGAAACUCUUACCACAAAAUAGAUCCUUUUAUGUAAUUCAAUACCUAUCAGAGGCUGUGUUUCUUACCACAAAAUAGAUCCUUUCAUGUAAUUCAAUACUUAUCAGUGGCUGUGUUUGAGUUUGGAGAGGUCAUCCAAUUCAAGGAUUCUAAUAGAUGUCAUUUUUUGUUUGUCUAUUGGUA
Long non-coding RNA from Macadamia integrifolia, 683 nucleotides. RefSeq lists it as uncharacterized. Lineage: Eukaryota; Viridiplantae; Streptophyta; Magnoliopsida; Proteales; Proteaceae. The record is from RefSeq and is a predicted model, not a curated record. The transcript is spliced from 2 exons.